ACAGGGAUUGCCUUAGUAACGGCGAGUGAAGCGGCAACAGCUCAAAUUUGAAAUCUGGCCCCAGGCCCGAGUUGUAAUUUGCAGAGGAUGCUUUUGGCGCGGUGCCUUCCGAGUUCCCUGGAACGGGACGCCAUAGAGGGUGAGAGCCCCGUCUGGUUGGAUACCAAGCCUUUGUAAAGCUCCUUCGACGAGUCGAGUAGUUUGGGAAUGCUGCUCUAAAUGGGAGGUAUAUGUCUUCUAAAGCUAAAUACCGGCCAGAGACCGAUAGCGCACAAGUAGAGUGAUCGAAAGAUGAAAAGCACUUUGGAAAGAGAGUUAAACAGCACGUGAAAUUGUUAAAAGGGAAGCGUUUAUGACCAGACUUGGGCCGGUUAAUCAUCCAGCGUUCUCGCUGGUGCACUUUGCCGGUCCAGGCCAGCAUCAGUUCGCUGCGGGGGAUAAAGGCGUCGGGAAUGUGGCUCCUCCGGAGUGUUAUAGCCCUUCGCGCAAUACCCUGCGGUGGACUGAGGUUCGCGCAUCUGCAAGGAUGCUGGCGUAAUGGUCAUCAACGACCCGUCUUGAAACACGGACCAAGGAGUCGUCUUCGUAUGCGAGUGUUCGGGUGUAAAACCCCUACGCGUAAUGAAAGUGAACGCAGGUGAGAGCUUCGGCGCAUCAUCGACCGAUCCUGAUGUUCUCGGAUGGAUUUGAGUAAGAGCAUACGGGGCCGGACCCGAAAGAAGGUGAACUAUGCCUGUAUAGGGUGAAGCCAGAGGAAACUCUGGUGGAGGCUCGCAGCGGUUCUGACGUGCAAAUCGAUCGUCAAAUAUGGGCAUGGGGGCGAAAGACUAAUCGAACCUUCUAGU
RNAcentral lists this ribosomal RNA (845 nucleotides) under Stachybotrys chlorohalonatus. RNAcentral describes it as "LSU rRNA". It matches the Rfam family "Eukaryotic large subunit ribosomal RNA", at positions 68 to 948 of the family's 3401-position model. The record is from RNAcentral. Lineage: Eukaryota; Fungi; Ascomycota; Sordariomycetes; Hypocreales; Stachybotryaceae.